GCAGAGUAGACAAGAUGCGUUAAGUGCCGCGGAAUGGGAUGUCGUCCGCGGACGAAAGGCUUAAGCCUGCGGUAUCUUGUCGCGUCCGUUG
This 91-nucleotide non-coding RNA is filed under the name chicken gut metagenome. RNAcentral's name for it is "THF riboswitch". It matches the Rfam family "THF (Tetrahydrofolate) riboswitch aptamer". From Rfam's summary of the family: THF riboswitch presents a pseudoknot that joins P1-P2 and the loop of P3 and two THF binding. The record is from RNAcentral.